CCUUGCCUAGGGACCACAUGAGGGCCCCGUAGACCCGCAUCAGCUGCUGCGUGUCCACUUGGUCGGCCUUGUUCAGCACGACACGGAUCUUGUCGUCCUGGCCCCGGAAGGCCUUGAUGGCCUCUGAGAAUUCAUCUGAGAUGUCCAGCUUGUGAGCGUCAAAGAGCAGGAUGAUCCUGUCCACCCUCUCGGCAAACCACUGCAGGACCUGGCAGAAGUCAUAGCCUG
This 228-nucleotide long non-coding RNA is filed under the name Homo sapiens (human). RNAcentral's name for it is "HSALNT0219314". Lineage: Eukaryota; Metazoa; Chordata; Mammalia; Primates; Hominidae. The record is from RNAcentral.